This 253-nucleotide ribosomal RNA is filed under the name uncultured bacterium. Its description in RNAcentral is "partial 16S ribosomal RNA". It matches the Rfam family "Bacterial small subunit ribosomal RNA", at positions 524 to 776 of the family's 1533-position model. The record is from RNAcentral.
CACGUAGGGCGCAAGCGUUGUCCGGAAUUAUUGGGCGUAAAGAGCUCGUAGGCGGUCUGUUACGUCUGCUGUGAAAAUCCGGGGCUCAACCCCGGACUUGCAGUGGGUACGGGCAGACUAGAGUGUGGUAGGGGAGACUGGAAUUCCUGGUGUAGCGGUGAAAUGCGCAGAUAUCAGGAGGAACACCGAUGGCGAAGGCAGGUCUCUGGGCCACUACUGACGCUGAGAAGCGAAAGCAUGGGGAGCGAACAGG